RNAcentral lists this ribosomal RNA (468 nucleotides) under uncultured bacterium. RNAcentral's name for it is "partial 16S ribosomal RNA". It matches the Rfam family "Bacterial small subunit ribosomal RNA", at positions 28 to 507 of the family's 1533-position model. The record is from RNAcentral.
GACGAACGCUGGCGGCGUGCUUAACACAUGCAAGUCGAACGGAAAGGCCCUGCUUUUGUGGGGUGCUCGAGUGGCGAACGGGUGAGUAACACGUGAGUAACCUGCCCUUGACUUUGGGAUAACUUCAGGAAACUGGGGCUAAUACCGGAUAGGAGCUCCUGCCGCAUGGUGGGGGUUGGAUAGUUUCGGCGGUUGGGGAUGGACUCGCGGCUUAUCAGCUUGUUGGUGGGGUAGUGGCUUACCAAGGCUUUGACGGGUAGCCGGCCUGGGAGGGUGACCGGCCACAUUGGGACUGAGAUACGGCCCAGACUCCUACGGGAGGCAGCAGUGGGGAAUAUUGCACAAUGGGCGGAAGCCUGAUGCAGCAACGCCGCGUGCGGGAUGACGGCCUUCGGGUUGUAAACCGCUUUCGCCUGUGACGAAGCGUGAGUGACGGUAAUGGGUAAAGAAGCACCGGCUAACUACGUG